This 497-nucleotide ribosomal RNA is filed under the name uncultured bacterium. Its description in RNAcentral is "partial 16S ribosomal RNA". It matches the Rfam family "Bacterial small subunit ribosomal RNA", at positions 28 to 507 of the family's 1533-position model. The record is from RNAcentral.
GAUGAACGCUGGCGGCGUGCCUAAUACAUGCCAGUCGAGCGAACGGACGAGAAGCUUGCUUCUCUGAUGUUAGCGGCGGACGGGUGAGUAACACGUGGAUAACCUACCUAUAAGACUGGGAUAACUUCGGGAAACCGGAGCUAAUACCGGAUAAUAUUUUGAACCGCAUGGUUCAAAAGUGAAAGACGGUCUUGCUGUCACUUAUAGAUGGAUCCGCGCUGCAUUAGCUAGUUGGUAAGGUAACGGCUUACCAAGGCAACGAUGCAUAGCCGACCUGAGUGGGUGAUCGGCCACACUGGAACUGAGACACGGUCCAGACUCCUACGGGAGGCAGCAGUAGGGAAUCUUCCGCAAUGGGCGAAAGCCUGACGGAGCAACGCCGCGUGAGUGAUGAAGGUCUUCGGAUCGUAAAACUCUGUUAUUAGGGAAGAACAUAUGUGUAAGUAACUGUGCACAUCUUGACGGUACCUAAUCAGAAAGCCACGGCUAACUACGUG